RNAcentral lists this long non-coding RNA (614 nucleotides) under Drosophila guanche. The stretch from base 8 to 52 matches the Rfam family "Histone 3' UTR stem-loop". Lineage: Eukaryota; Metazoa; Arthropoda; Insecta; Diptera; Drosophilidae. The record is from RNAcentral.
AAAACCCAAAAAGGCCCUUUUCAGGGCCACAAAAAUGUUUUUCCAAAGAAUGCCAUUUUCAAUUUUGACAAUAUUUAAUAAAAAGAUCAGUUAACUGCAAUCUUCGAUUUGCUAGAGACCAAAACAAUCUAUAUACACUAUGCCUGUGCAUCGUUCUCCAGGCGAACAGUUCGGCUAGGUUCUGUUCUGAAAAACUCGUUUAGAUCGCCGUCUGCGUCGAGGAGUUUGAACUGGACGCUAAGUUAAAUAAUAAAUAUCUGUGGCUUAUCAUAAGUAAUGCAAGGUUUUUAUAUAGUUUUGUAGCCCCGUAAAGGGCUUGUUUAAAUCCAUUUCAGAUGUAUUCGAGUGCAAGUGCGACCAUGUACACCAGCGUGUACCAUUUCGCAAUUUACUUCUUGGCCGCCGUCGUCUUUCGGCUUAAUUCCCUGUCUGUAAAAACGCAUAUGGCAGCGCAAUCAAAUGAGACAUCAGCAGCCGGUUGUGUAUGCCCUGAUAUCAUGGCUUUCUUCUGGGCUGAUUAUUGUAGCGCCAUCUGUUGGAGAUGCCAGGUCUUCGGUUUACUAUGCUGUGGCGCUCUCUGUCCGAUGUUUGCUUUGAAAGUGCAUAUAGAUACU